UGAAGAGAAUUCUAUUGAAAUGACGUACUUGGGUAUCUGGAUCCGUAUCAACAUGCAUCAUGGGCUAAAUAAUCCGUAUUAAUGCCAAUUAAAUCAUGAGGGGGGAAUCCACACCUCAUGAACCACGCUCUAAUCAAUAUGGUGCUAAGGGUUUAUCGUGCCAAAUAAUAAUAACCUUAUACUAGAGAGCCGGUGUAACCAAGGCGGUAUCUAGACAAGAUUAGUAUUAUUUGUCGACGAGAAGUCAAAACAUCCACAAAAAUUAGAGGGGAAGAGAAAGUAAAUUUACCAAAUUAAGCCCAUGACACAUGUUGAGACUUCACCUUCAACCCAAGCUUGAAAGAAAAUUAGCCACUCAUAAUUGAACUAGGGGCAAAAUGGGAAUUUAUUAAAAUACGAAGAAAAUACAAGAUGGAGAAGGAAUUACAGAAAAUGGAUCCCAAAAAUGGAUUCAGAGAUAUCAAAUUAGGGGGGGAUGCCCCCUUUUUAUAGAUACAUGGAGUAAAUCAUGGCCAUCGGAUUAAAAACAGUUUGGACGCUCAGGAUUGCGCCACGUCAUCAGUCAACAGUCCACGGUUUGACCACGCGGAUGAACAGUAACACGGUUUGACCCGACUUUGAACAGUAACGCGGUUUGACCCGGAUGAACAGUAACGCGGUUUGGUUGAAAAUAAUCCUGUGUGAUGCAUGCACCGUACGCGAGAUUUUUCGUCCACUGAUAUGCUGCCACGUCACCAUCAACAGUACAUAAGAAUUUUAGUCCAACAGGAUCGUGACACCUCAUCAGUCAAUGCCACAUCAUCGGUCAAUGCCACGUCAUCAUCCGUUUAUGUGAACAGUGUCGUGAACAGUAACGUAUACAGUACCAUACACGUGAAUAGCACUGUACAUGUGAAUAGUGCCAUUUUUCCUUUUAUGCUCCUCCUAAGGUUUUCGACCGUCCUGAGUUCAAAAGUGAUGUCCGUUUUGCCGUCUGAUCUCUCCUUUAUUGUGAAAUGACUAUAAUGCCCCUAAAAUACAUA
RNAcentral lists this long non-coding RNA (1022 nucleotides) under Citrus x clementina. RNAcentral describes it as "Citrus clementina (C. clementina) long non-coding RNA (CCLE_LNC000873)". Lineage: Eukaryota; Viridiplantae; Streptophyta; Magnoliopsida; Sapindales; Rutaceae. The record is from RNAcentral.